This 19-nucleotide non-coding RNA is filed under the name Arabidopsis thaliana (thale cress). The record is from RNAcentral. RNAcentral also lists the same sequence under 1 other name. Lineage: Eukaryota; Viridiplantae; Streptophyta; Magnoliopsida; Brassicales; Brassicaceae.
CCUGCCGAAUCAACUAGCC